This 330-nucleotide ribosomal RNA is filed under the name uncultured bacterium. Its description in RNAcentral is "bacterial SSU rRNA". It matches the Rfam family "Bacterial small subunit ribosomal RNA", at positions 568 to 898 of the family's 1533-position model. The record is from RNAcentral.
UGUGUAGGCGGUUCUCCAAGUUUGGUGUGAAAUCUCCCGGCUCAACCGGGAGGGUGCGCCGAAAACUGGGGGGCUAGAGUGCGGGAUGGGAGAGUGGAAUUCCUGGUGUAGCGGUGAAAUGCGUAGAUAUCAGGAGGAACACCGGUGGUGUAGACGGCUCUCUGGACCGUAACUGACGCUGAAACACGAAAGCGUGGGUAGCAAACAGGAUUAGAUACCCUGGUAGUCCACGCCCUAAACGAUGCAUAUUUGGUGUAGGUCAUUCAGUUGAUCUGUGCCGGAGCUAACGCGUUAAAUAUGCCGCCUGGGGAGUACAGUCGCAAGGCUGAA